UCAACAUGCAAGCAGGAAUCUUC
Molecule: unclassified non-coding RNA, 23 nt
Filed under: Mus musculus (house mouse)
Lineage: Eukaryota; Metazoa; Chordata; Mammalia; Rodentia; Muridae
Description: oocyte_clustered_small_RNA3830
Source: RNAcentral